Molecule: long non-coding RNA, 1561 nt
Organism: Carya illinoinensis
Lineage: Eukaryota; Viridiplantae; Streptophyta; Magnoliopsida; Fagales; Juglandaceae
Exons: 2
Source: RefSeq, a predicted model, not a curated record
UAAAAAAGUGAAUAAAUUUGAGAUUCAUAAGAAAAAUUAUUUUUUUUAAUACUAGACUAUUUUUUUUAAAAGAAAGUGCAUAAGACUUGUACACUUUAAAAUUGUAUCUAACAUUACUCAUUCUUAUUACUUUUUGAGUAAAAUAUUAUACCCCUACCUUAUAUUACUCACUUUACCCCUUGAUGUGACUUGCCAAAUGACUUAAUAAAAAAACUUAAAAAAUAUAUAUUCAAAACAAAAUGAGACUCAAAAACACAAAAAGAUAAAGAUUAAAAUUUUAGAUUCUCUUAACUCUUUUAUGUUUGUACUUUUUAAUUUUUAAUUUUUUUUAAUAAGCCAUGUGACAUAACAUGUACCAUAUCAAAAAAACAAAAUGAAUAAUAUAAAUUGGACAACAUAAUAGCAUUACUCUUAAUUUUUUCUAUCUAACAUGUUGAUAUCGGGUUUGUAUUCUUCUCAAUUUCCUUUUUAAAUUUAUUUAUUUAAUAAUCUUUAUUUAAAUUUACCACGUUAUAUGUUGUAUGUAUCCGCCUAAUAUCAUGAUAUUAACAAAAAUGUUAAAUGCAAACGAUUGGGGUAAGUAUCGCGUAGUCGGGUUCGACAUGGCUUAAUGAGUUAAUGAAACGGAGUAUAUGCCCAUGAUUACGAAGAGAAAUGCUCACAACUCCACUUUUGCCCAAACACUUUGCCCCUUACGUCUCCCCUCAUCUUCUCCAUCUACCCUAACCUUCCGUCUCAUCUCUCCUCUGAUCUUCUCAAUCAACCCUAACCCUAACCCUUCGAACUCCACAAAGACUUACUUGCUUCCUUCCUCUGAGUUGGAAUGGUGCUUUCUUUGUGUUUUUUUUUUUUUUUCUCUUUUCGCAUACAUCUUCUCUUUCGGAGAUUGAUUUCGCAAGUUCCUCAUCAGUUUUCUCUGUUGCAAGUAUGGGUUCUCCUUCAUCUUUCUCGAUUUCGCAAGUUCCUCCUUGGUUAUCUCUUUCGCAAGUCUGGGUUCUCAUUUGGAUUUGUCGAUUUCACAAGUUCCUCCUCAGUUUUCUCUUUCGCAAGUCUGGGCGCUCUCUACUAUUUUUCAAUUUUGCAAGUUUUGUCUUCAAGAUUUUUUCCCUCCUCGGUAUCUGUUUGCGAAAGUCUAUUCUCCUUCCUCAAGAUCGAUUUCGCAUUGUUUCAUCUGUAGAUCUGGUUCUUCCUCAAAAUCGUCGAAAACCUAACCCUAACUCCCAAAACCUUAACCCUAACCAUAACCAUAAUCCUAACCCUAAAACCCCAACUUCUAGACUUUGGGUUUGGGCACUGAGCGAUUGGCCAAACAACCCACUCAAGCUAGGUUUUUAAUUAUGCAUAAUUGAGAAUGAAUGCAUUUCAAAGUGCCAAACCGAAGUUGAGUUUUAUUUUUUUUUUCUCUUUGGUUUGUUAAUUCCUAGGUUAAUUUCGAUUAUGGUUGGAUUGUUUUGUUUAAGCUCACUUGGAUAGUUUUGAAUAUGUUUAAAUAUGGGGGAAGUGAUAUUAUUUGCAUGACAUUGUCUUUGUUUCUUAAAUUUCUUUGUUCUGUUUAAGCUCA